RNAcentral lists this ribosomal RNA (270 nucleotides) under uncultured bacterium. RNAcentral describes it as "partial 16S ribosomal RNA". It matches the Rfam family "Bacterial small subunit ribosomal RNA", at positions 29 to 284 of the family's 1533-position model. The record is from RNAcentral.
AACGAACGUUAGCGGCGCGCCUAACACAUGCAAGUCGAACGAGAAAGGGCUUCGGCCCCGGUAAAGUGGCGCACGGGUGAGUAAUACGUGGAUAAUCUUCCCUCGAGCGGGGGAUAACAUUCCGAAAGGAGUGCUAAUACCGCAUAAGACCACGGAGCCGAAAGGCUCUGAGGUAAAAGCAGGCCUCUAUACAUAAGCUUGCACUUGAGGAUGAGUCCACGGCCCAUCAGGUAGUUGGUAGGGUAAUGGCCUACCAAGCCUAAGACGGGU